UCUGGAAUCUCGUUUAGCUUUGGAAAGUAAUGGAUACCGAGACCUUUAAUCAGAGGCAUUGCACUUGUGGCUAAAUGCCAUAUUUCUAGGUUGUGAAGACUUAGAAGAUGAAGGAACUCUAGUUGACAGAAGUUGUUAUCAUUGCAGGUAAUCUCUUUUCCUUCAUAAGCUUCUAUUAAUUCGAGAUUCCUUAGGUUUGGCAACAUUCCCAGAAUAGGCAUUGGAUCUUCCGUGAGUUUUGAGUACCAAAGGAUCAUCAUUGUGAUUGAAUUUGGAAAUGGGUCCGACAGGGGCAUUUUUUCUAUUCUCCCCUGUAACAACAAUUUCUGGAGCUUUUGACAAGAAGUAAGAAAUUCAAGGGCUGGGAAUGAUUCACGAAAUUCACACAACAAUUUGAGAGUGCUAAGGCUUUUCAAGCUGCUAAUGUUGUAAAGGGAGUAAGAUUUCUCAAUAUCAUACAUGCUUAAUUCUCGAACAUUGACUAAAUCAACAGGGUCGACAUCUUUCCACUGAUCACAACAGAUGUAUUCAAGAACUUGAAGACUUGUGAGUUUGUUUAUAUGUUGCAGAGGUUCUUUGUAUGGAACGACUAAAUGUCUUAGAUUUACUAGGUUAGCUAACUCAGGAGGUAGUCGGGAUCCAUUAUCAAGGUCUUCAUCCAAGUCCUGGAGUGUCAGUAAAUUCUUGAGGUUGCCUAUGGAGGAGGGAAUAUCACAACUACCUCUAAAGCUUAAGUAUCUGAGGCUGUACAAACUUCCUAUGGCAUCUGGUAGUGUAAAUAUGCCACAGUCAUUCUCCAAGUAUAGCACAUAUAAAUGUUGGAACAUAUUGCAGAACUUUAUCCUAUCCAGCUCAAGACCUUUUUGAUCAAAGAAUGUAACUGAUCUUAAGUUCAAUCUGGAAAAAUUAAGAGUGAGGUACCUUUCUCCUUGACCAUUGAUGGUAUGUCUACGACAUGAGGAGGAUAUGGAAUGUUUUUUCGGACUAUAAAUGUCAAAGAAGUUUACCUCCAAUGCCUUUUGUAUGGCAAGAUCCCGAAGUAGAUCAUGAAUCCUACAUCUAACAACUUCUUCCCAAAAUGUAUCUUCCACUUGAACCAAGCUUCGCCUUAUCAGCUCAUUCAGGAAGUCUUGAGCUACAUCCUCGAUUCUUUCUUCUCCUCUUGGUAUCAAUCCAUCGGCCAUCCACAACCACAUGAGGUUCUUAGCAUUAAUCAGACGAUCUUCUGGAAAAAUACCAAAGUAAAAAAAGCAUUGUUUGAGCACAGUUGGCAAAUCAUUGUAGCUCAGUGAGAGUAUGUCCGAGAUUGCAAUGAAGUCAUUUUUCACACGGUUCCAAAGGUGUUCCUUCACCCUUUCCCAUUCUUCUGGCCCCCUUUUAUGUGAAAGAAGCCCGCUUAGCGUAGCAAUUGCAAGAGGUAAGCCUCUACACUUGAGCACCAUUUCCCAAGCUAGCGUUUCCAUUGCUGGGAUCAUUGCCUGAACGUCGAGUAGUUUCCUGCGAAAGAGGUCCCAACUUUCUUCUUCUGUUAGGAAAUGAAGGCUAUGGGGAAAACAGUUGUCAUCUGCUCUUUUGGCCACAUCCUCAUUGCGUGUGGUAAUAAUAACUCUGCUUCCAUUAUUGUUGUUGGGGAAUGCUCUUUCCAGCCUUUCCCAUGCUUCUCUCUGCCAUACAUCAUCAACCACCACAAGGUAUUUUUUCUCUUCUAGUAGAUUCCGAAGGUGUCUUUCUAGAUCUAUCACAUCCGUCAUCUUUUCCAACAAAUCUAGAGUUUCCUUGUCACAUCUUUGGAUGGAUUUGAUGAUAUUCUUAAGGAGAUCCGUGGUGUUAUACUGUUGAGAAACACAUACCCAAGCACGUGCAUUGAAGAUAUUGGUUAGACUAGGGGAGUGGUAGAGAUUUUUUGCAAGAGUAGUCUUGCCUAACCCGCCCAUACCAUAAAUGGAGAUGAUGGUUCGGCGUGGCUCUGCUUUGACAAGUUCAGCAAGCAAUCUUUCUACAACAUCCUUAAAGCCAACAAAAAUCUGAUCCUGCUUAUCCAUAUAGGAGGUAGUUCUCCUCAAGCCAUAUCUCUGAUUGUUUGGCCUAUAAUUAUUUGGCCCUUCUCCUGCAAUAUUAUCGACAUUUCUGAUACCAUAAGUCUCUCGUUUUCUAGAGAUAUCCAUGAUUCGCUGCUUGAGUGAUUGAAUCUCCUUACCGAUGUUGUAGAAUUUGGCCUCCUUCCUACAUACGCAAGCGCAAGCCUUAAGACAACUAGCAAAUCCUCCCUCAUCACCUUUACCAGCCUCGAAAUUGUAAGUCUCUAGUAUCGCGACAGCGUCAUUAGCAAAAUCGUUAAUUUCAAACACCCAUUGUUGAACUCUUUGAUCUCCAACUUGCUUUUCUUCUGCAUCUUUGAGGAAACUCUGCAUGAAGAGCAGCUCAUUUCGCAGCCAUCGCACAUCCUCUCUCAGGCUUAAACGUAGGUUAACUUCCUGUAUGAGGAAAUCCCCAAGUUUUUGAACCGCAAAUGACACAAAAGCAUCAACCAUAUUUUGGAGUUUUGUUUUUUACUGUUAUCAAGAGAUCUUGAGUGUGGUGUUAAAGCAAUAUAUAGCAGGCUUAUAAGGUUGCUGUCCGUCCCCUUUGCUGUUUCCUCUUGUUUAAAAAAGUCAUAUGGAAGAAAGUUAAAUCAAAGUUGGCUGCUAAUUGCUGCCAAAAAGAAGUUUGAUGCAGAUGUUCUGAAUAUGAGUCUGAAUUUGGGAAUGGAGUUCGACUACCAGAGGAUGUUACGAGAUGCCUUCCUGUAUUGAAGAGCACUAGAGAGGAGUUUUCAUAGUGUUGUCAUGACUAUGAAUGGUGAAGCAGUUGGUGGGUGGAACAAAUAGGGGCAAUUUAGUAUUUAAUACUACAUACAUUGUAAGCCCUGAUUUUUCAUCUGUAAACCUUGAAUGCUGGCUCUACGGAAACAUUCGUUGAUGCUGAGGAAACAAUUCUUCAAGGAUAAAACCUCUGGUGUAACUAGCCAAACAACAUAAUCAAGGCAAAGUUGCUCAAUAUUGAACACGAGGAGCACUUCUUCCUGGAGAAAUAGCAGCAGCCAAGUACUGCAAUGCAAUAUGUUCGCUCGGCAUCAUUAAGAUGAAAUACAUUUUUGUGCUCAUUUCCUCAUAUAUCCUUCCCUUUAGUAUUUCUUGAAAUAAUUUAUCCUUGUAAAUGUGAAGAUUAAAAAAUAUCUUGUCUAAUUUACUUGAUCGACGUUUCUAUUAGGUAUGGUUCUUGCCUUUUACCAUCAUAAAUGGUCAACGCAGCUCUGCUGGCCAUGAUUAAGCUAUAUUGGGGCGGCCGCUUUUUUGCUUUGUCUGCAUACUUGUCUUUCUGGAAAGGAGAAGGCAGCAAAACACAUAGAAAAUAUGUUUCAUCCUAAAUAUGAUUAUCCAGCACAAAGAACUAGUUUCCCCCACUGAUGACAACGAAUUUCGAAUACUUGUAUCAUUGAUUUGGGAUUUUUUUUGGGUAUUUAUAACUUCUUAUUGUACAAACGUACUUUGGUCUUCAAAAAAUAAAGAGUUUGAGAAGAUCUUUGAUAAUUUCAUAAAGUUUUGCUUUCCACUGUUUUUUAUAGUAAUGCACCUUUCACACUCUCGGAAAAAUGAAAAUAUCAGUUGAAGUACAAUAUAAGUCACUGGGCCCGUGCUUAGCAUGGGCGCUUCGUCACUAGACUUCCUCCACUGAAGCAGGCUGCACUCCGUUGACAUGCCAGCUAGCUGAGCUCGCGGUUAUUUUUGGGAUUCUGUAAUUUUAGUGCUUUAAGAGUAUUGUACUAUAUUGCUGCUUGAGUAUAUGUUUUCAUCGUUUUACAAGAAAGCAGUUCCGUUUCAAUUUAAUUACUUUCUGUACCAGCUGAAAGUUAUAGUACUGUGGGCCCCAACUUAAGUUCCCAUUUCAGACUUACAAGUUUAGUUUUCCUGCACUUGAGGCCCCCAAUAUAUUUUCCAACUUCAUCAGCAUUUGUUACUUAGGUUUUUUCUUACGUUGCUUGUUUUAAAUAUUGAACACGAGGUAUAUUCAAAUUUAUGAAGGUACUUGCUACUACUGAUGCUUUAUUACUAUGUGAAUUUUUGAUAUAUGUACCCAUGUUUUAGUUUUAAAAUUAAAUUAUAACAGGUUGGUUAGUAUCCGACUAACUGUCGGAUGAGUGAUAUGUUUUAAAUUUGGUCAGCUCUAAAUCAAGCUUUAAAAGUGGGAUUCUCCUAGGGAAAGUAGUGUAGUAAUCUUUUAGCUUGAAAGUUAGUAGGCUGAUUUAUGUAAUAGUAUAUGUUUUCUCUUCAAUUUUAUUGCAUAUAGGAACACUUCCAACUUUACCGUUUUCUCGACUUAUUGUUGUUCCAGGACUAAACCUGAAGGAUGACAUCCGAUGAGUAGUCACAUGGAUUUUAUAAUGGGGGCCCAGAGACACCGACUGCAAAAGUGAAGCUAUGUGUUGGUGCUCUUCCGUCUGGAAAAUGGCGUUCCUGCUAUAAACGCGGACUUACUUUCAACUUUAACUUCUACCUCUAUGUAAACCGAACUUAUGUAGUUCAAUAUACGAGUUGUGUGGAAAGUGUUGUGUCCUGCUAGAGGUGAUGGUGUCCGUAUAACAUGUAUUGUCUACAAUUGUUCU
Lycium barbarum (goji berry) is the source of this 4642-nucleotide long non-coding RNA. RefSeq lists it as uncharacterized. The record is from RefSeq and is a predicted model, not a curated record. The transcript is spliced from 3 exons. Lineage: Eukaryota; Viridiplantae; Streptophyta; Magnoliopsida; Solanales; Solanaceae.